Molecule: ribosomal RNA, 465 nt
Filed under: uncultured bacterium
Lineage: Bacteria
Description: partial 16S ribosomal RNA
Rfam family: Bacterial small subunit ribosomal RNA
Source: RNAcentral
GACGAACGCUGGCGGCGUGCUUAACACAUGCAAGUCGAACGGAAAGGCCCUGCUUUCAGGGUACUCGAGUUGCGAACGGGUGAGUAACACGUGGGUGAUCUGCCCUGCACUUCGGGAUAAGCCUGUGAAACUGGGUCUAAUACCUGAUAGGAGCCAUUUUUAGUGGGAUGGUUGGAAAGUUUUGUCGGUGUAGGAUGAGCUCGCGGCCUAUCAGCUUGUUGGUGUGGUAAUGGCCUACCAAGGCGGCGACGGGUAGCCGGACUGAGAGGGUGGACGGCCACAUUGGGACUGAGGUAAGGCACAGACACCGACGGGAGGGAGAUGUGGGGAAUAUUGCACAAUGGGCGCAAGGCGGAUGAAGAGACGCCGCGUGGGGGAUGACGGUCUUCGGGUUGUAAACUCCUUUCGCUAGGGACGAAGCUUUUUGUGACGGUACCUAGACAAGAAGCACCGGCUAACUACGUG